AGUGAGUAUCNCCUCAAAUUGCANAUUUGAAAAAGUUCCUAUUUGGUCCCAGGGCUU
This 57-nucleotide transfer RNA is filed under the name Bavayia robusta. Its description in RNAcentral is "partial tRNA-Cys". The record is from RNAcentral. Lineage: Eukaryota; Metazoa; Chordata; Lepidosauria; Squamata; Diplodactylidae.